Long non-coding RNA from Cyprinus carpio (common carp), 663 nucleotides. NCBI's taxonomy places the organism in Eukaryota, Metazoa, Chordata, Actinopteri, Cypriniformes, Cyprinidae. The record is from Ensembl.
UUGUUCUUUCUUUCAUUCUUCAAAGUUCAUUUUCGUCUGAAUGUACAAUAUCACAAUGUACAAACCAUUAUGAUAACGUGACAUAAGCAAGUGUUGCAGCCUCUUUCUGUUUUAAAUAAAUUAGUAGCAUUCACGGGAUGGAGCCCUUCCAAGGAUUUUCCACACAAACCAGGAACUCCAUUGUCUUCUAUCUAAAAACACUCAUUGGUCACCCAAAUAAAAAGAAUACGCCUUAGCAAGCAGGGUCUGCUAUUUAUAUCAUGUCUAUCUUGUCUAUCUCUCUCUCUCACUCUCUCCUAAGUUCUCUAUAAGUCUGACUUCCUUGGCAACCUACUCUUUGUUUUUAGUGGCACUCGUUCAAGUUGAGAGUGUGAGGAGCUUACGUCCUGAAGGUUAUCAGACAUAGAGACGGCUGUUGCCCAACAAAGAAACUCCCAGUUUAGAGAUGUUCAGAGUUCCUGAGGAACAGGAGCUACAAUGCAGUGCUGCCAUGAGUAUGUCAGCAGGUUGUCUGGUAUUGCUGUAUCAUCACAGUUAGGUGACCUUCACAUUGCAUUACUGGUUGAUAGCCCCAUUGACCCUAAGUUCCUUUGAGGACUCUUCCUGUUACGGUUAGUUAGAUCUUCCUCUGCUGUGUAUAAAUAAACCCUUCAGUCUCACCCA